GGGAGCCGAAUGACCGAAAUGGUCACGUUCGGUUCUGAGAGGGGCAUUAAAUAACUUAAAGGAGGUUAUAAAAGAUGUCUACUCACAA
Candidatus Omnitrophica bacterium CG1_02_49_10 is the source of this 88-nucleotide non-coding RNA. The record is from Rfam. Lineage: Bacteria; Pseudomonadati; Candidatus Omnitrophota.